RNAcentral lists this ribosomal RNA (458 nucleotides) under uncultured bacterium. RNAcentral's name for it is "partial 16S ribosomal RNA". It matches the Rfam family "Bacterial small subunit ribosomal RNA", at positions 338 to 795 of the family's 1533-position model. The record is from RNAcentral.
CCUAGGGGUGGCAGCAGUCGAGAAUCAUUCACAAUGGGGGGAAGGCUGAAACAGCCAUGCCGCGUGAAGGUCAGUGCCCUAUGGGCGUUAAACUUCUUUUGUGCGGGAGCAAUACUGGUCACGUGUGGCCAGACGAGAGUACCGUACGAAUAAGCAUCGGCUAACUCCGUGCCAGCAGCCGCGGUAAUACGGGGGAUGCGAGCGUUAUCCGGAUUUAUUGGGUUUAAAGGGUGCGUAGGCGGACAGUCAAGUCAGCGGUAAAAAUGCGGUGCUCAACGCCGUACAGCCGUUGAAACUGGCAGUCUUGAGUGGGCGAGAAGUAUGCGGAAUGCGUGGUGUAGCGGUGAAAUGCAUAGAUAUCACGCAGAACUCCGAUUGCGAAGGCAGCAUACCGGCGCCCGACUGACGCUGAGGCACGAAAGCGUGGGUAUCGAACAGGAUUAGAUACCCCUGUAGUC